Zasmidium cellare ATCC 36951 is the source of this 91-nucleotide non-coding RNA. NCBI's taxonomy places the organism in Eukaryota, Fungi, Ascomycota, Dothideomycetes, Mycosphaerellales, Mycosphaerellaceae. The record is from the annotation of a RefSeq genome assembly.
GGCUCAAUGGUCUAGGGGUAUGAUUCUUGCUUUGGGCGCUUCAAAAGAGCACAAUUGCAAGAGGUCCCGCGUUCAAAUCGCGGUUGAGCCC